AUAUAGGUAUAUAUGGUAGAAUGCUCGCCUGCCACGCGGGCGGCCAGGGUUCGAUUCCCGGCCAAUGCA
This 69-nucleotide transfer RNA is filed under the name Heliconius melpomene (postman butterfly). RNAcentral describes it as "tRNA HMEL013541". Lineage: Eukaryota; Metazoa; Arthropoda; Insecta; Lepidoptera; Nymphalidae. The record is from RNAcentral.